This 443-nucleotide ribosomal RNA is filed under the name uncultured bacterium. RNAcentral describes it as "partial 16S ribosomal RNA". It matches the Rfam family "Bacterial small subunit ribosomal RNA", at positions 338 to 795 of the family's 1533-position model. The record is from RNAcentral.
CCUACGGGUAGCAGCAGUGGGGAAUAUUGGGCAAUGGAGGAAACUCUGACCCAGCAACGCCGCGUGAAUGAUGAAGGUCUUCGGAUUGUAAAGUUCUUUUCUAAGGGAAGAAGAAAGUGAUGGUACCUUAGGAAUAACCCGCGGCUAACUACGUGCCAGCAGCCGCGGUAAUACGGAGGAGGCGAGCGUUAUCCGGCAUGACUGGGCGUAAAGGGGGCGUAGGUGGUUUGGCAAGAUAGUAGCGUAACUCCAAGGCUCAACCUUGGAACUACUACUAUGACUAUUGGACUUGAGUGCAGGAGGGGCUACCGGAAUACCUAGUGUAGCGGUGGAAUGCGUAGAUAUUAGGAGGAACACCAGUGGCGAAGGCGGGUUGCUAGACUGUAACUGACACUGAGGCACGAAAGCGUGGGGAGCAAACAGGAUUAGAUACCCCUGUAGUC